GGAAGAUUGGCAGAGAGGCUUAAUGCGCUUGGUUGCUAACCAAGAGGCGGUGAAAACUUCCCGUAGGUUCGAAUCCUACAUCUUCCG
Molecule: transfer RNA, 87 nt
Filed under: Caudoviricetes sp.
Lineage: Duplodnaviria; Heunggongvirae; Uroviricota; Caudoviricetes
Description: tRNA-Ser
Rfam family: tRNA
About the family: Transfer RNA (tRNA) molecules are approximately 80 nucleotides in length. Their secondary structure includes four short double-helical elements and three loops (D, anti-codon, and T loops).
Source: RNAcentral